AUCCGUACGAGCGCACCCCUUGUCCUUAGUUACCAUCAUUAAGUUGGGGACUCUAAGGAGACUGCCGGUGACAAACCGGAGGAAGGCGGGGACGACGUCAAGUCAUCAUGGCCCUUACGAGUAGGGCUACACACGUGCUACAAUGGCCAGUACAGAGGGUUGCAAUGCCGCGAGGUGGAGCUAAUCCCACAAAGCUGGUCGUAGUCCGGAUUGGAGUCUGCAACUCGACUCCAUGAAGUCGGAAUCGCUAGUAAUCGUGAAUCAGAAUGUCACGGUGAAUACGUUCCCGGGCCUUGUACACACCGCCCGUCACACCAUGGGAGUGGGUUGCUCCAGAAGUAGAUAGCCUAACCUUCGGGAGGGCGUUUACCACGGAGUGAUUCAUGACUGGGGUGAAGUCGUAACAAGGUAGCCCUAGGGGAACCUGGGGCUGGAUCACCUCCUU
This 445-nucleotide ribosomal RNA is filed under the name uncultured Gammaproteobacteria bacterium. RNAcentral describes it as "bacterial SSU rRNA". It matches the Rfam family "Bacterial small subunit ribosomal RNA", at positions 1084 to 1532 of the family's 1533-position model. The record is from RNAcentral. Lineage: Bacteria; Pseudomonadati; Pseudomonadota; Gammaproteobacteria.